AGAGUUUGAUUCUGGCUCAGAACGAACGCUGGCGGCGUGGAUAAGACAUGCAAGUCGUGCGGAAAUUAGAUAGUAGCAAUACAAUCUGGUUUUAGCGGCGAACGGGUGCGUAACACGUGGGUAAUCUACCGUAAAGUUCGGGAUAACUUGCUGAAAGGUGAGCUAAUACCGGAUGUUAUCGUUUGAGGGCAUCCUUAAACGAUCAAAGCUGGGGAUCGAAAGACCUGGCGCUUUAUGAUGAGCCCGCGGCCUAUCAGCUAGAUGGCGAGGUAACGGCUCACCAUGGCUAAGACGGGUAGCUGGUCUGAGAGGACGAUCAGCCACACUGGAACUGAGACACGGUCCAGACACCUACGGGUGGCAGCAGUCGAGAAUCUUUCACAAUGGGCGAAAGCCUGAUGGAGCGACGCCGCGUGGGGGAUGAAUGGCUUCGGUCCGUAAACCCCUGUCAUUUGUGAGCAAUGCAGGUAGCUAAAUAGGUUGCCUGUUGAUAGUAGCGAAAGAGGAAGGGACGGCUAACUCUGUGCCAGCAGCCGCGGUAAUACAGAGGUCCCGAGCGUUGUUCGGAUUUACUGGGCGUAAAGCGUGCGUAGGUGGCUGAGUUAGUUUGAUGUGAAAUCUCCGGGCCUAACCCGGAAACUGCAUUGAAUACUAUUCGGCUAGAGGUCUGAAGGGGAGACUGGAAUUCUCGGUGUAGCAGUGAAAUGCGUAGAUAUCGAGAGGAACACCAGUGGCGAAGGCGAGUCUCUGGGCAGAUCCUGACACUGAGGCACGAAAGCUAGGGGAGCAAACAGGAUUAGAUACCCUGGUAGUCCUAGCCGUAAACGGUGCGCACUUGCUGUGGGCGGAAUCGACCCCGCCCGUGGCGAAGCUAACGCGAUAAGUGCGCCGCCUGGGGAGUACGGUCGCAAGACUAAAACUCAAAGAGAUUGACGGGGGCCAGCACAAGCGGUGGAGUAUGUGGCUUAAUUCGAUUCAACGCGAAGAACCUUACCUGGCCUUGACAUGUGAGUAGUAAAACCCUGAAAGGGGAAUGAUCCCGCAAGGGAAGCUUGCACAGGUGCUGCAUGGCUGUCGUCAGCUCGUGUCGUGAGAUGUUGGGUUAAGUCCCGCAACGAGCGCAACCCCUGUGUCCUGUUGCCACUCCCGUGUAAACGGGAAGCACUCUGGACAGACUGCCUCGUUUUAACGAGGAGGAAGGUGGGGAUGACGUCAAGUCAGUAUGGCCCUUACGGCCAGGGCUGCACACGUACUACAAUGCCCGGUACAAAGGGCCGCGAGACCGCAAGGUGGAGCAAAUCCCAUAAAACCGGGCCCAGUUCGGAUUGUCGUCUGCAACCCGACGGCAUGAAGCCGGAAUCGCUAGUAACGGCGUAUCAGCUGCGGCGCCGUGAAUACGUUCCCAGGCCUUGUACACACCGCCCGUCACAUCAUGAAAGCUGGUUGUACCCGAAGUCGUUGUGCCAACCCUUAGGAGGCAGGCGCCGAAGGUAUGGCUAGUGAUUGGGAUGAAGUCGUAACAAGGUA
Molecule: ribosomal RNA, 1527 nt
Filed under: metagenome
Description: bacterial SSU rRNA
Rfam family: Bacterial small subunit ribosomal RNA
Source: RNAcentral